UUUAAAAUGAGAGUUUGAUCCUGGCUCAGGACGAACGCUGGCGGCGUGCCUAAUACAUGCAAGUCGAGCGAGCGGAACUAACAGAUUUACUUCGGUAAUGACGUUAGGAAAGCGAGCGGCGGAUGGGUGAGUAACACGUGGGGAACCUGCCCCAUAGUCUGGGAUACCACUUGGAAACAGGUGCUAAUACCGGAUAAGAAAGCAGAUCGCAUGAUCAGCUUUUAAAAGGCGGCGUAAGCUGUCGCUAUGGGAUGGCCCCGCGGUGCAUUAGCUAGUUGGUAAGGUAAAGGCUUACCAAGGCGAUGAUGCAUAGCCGAGUUGAGAGACUGAUCGGCCACAUUGGGACUGAGACACGGCCCAAACUCCUACGGGAGGCAGCAGUAGGGAAUCUUCCACAAUGGACGCAAGUCUGAUGGAGCAACGCCGCGUGAGUGAAGAAGGUUUUCGGAUCGUAAAGCUCUGUUGUUGGUGAAGAAGGAUAGAGGUAGUAACUGGCCUUUAUUUGACGGUAAUCAACCAGAAAGUCACGGCUAACUACGUGCCAGCAGCCGCGGUAAUACGUAGGUGGCAAGCGUUGUCCGGAUUUAUUGGGCGUAAAGCGAGCGCAGGCGGAAGAAUAAGUCUGAUGUGAAAGCCCUCGGCUUAACCGAGGAACUGCAUCGGAAACUGUUUUUCUUGAGUGCAGAAGAGGAGAGUGGAACUCCAUGUGUAGCGGUGGAAUGCGUAGAUAUAUGGAAGAACACCAGUGGCGAAGGCGGCUCUCUGGUCUGCAACUGACGCUGAGGCUCGAAAGCAUGGGUAGCGAACAGGAUUAGAUACCCUGGUAGUCCAUGCCGUAAACGAUGAGUGCUAAGUGUUGGGAGGUUUCCGCCUCUCAGUGCUGCAGCUAACGCAUUAAGCACUCCGCCUGGGGAGUACGACCGCAAGGUUGAAACUCAAAGGAAUUGACGGGGGCCCGCACAAGCGGUGGAGCAUGUGGUUUAAUUCGAAGCAACGCGAAGAACCUUACCAGGUCUUGACAUCUAGUGCCAUUUGUAGAGAUACAAAGUUCCCUUCGGGGACGCUAAGACAGGUGGUGCAUGGCUGUCGUCAGCUCGUGUCGUGAGAUGUUGGGUUAAGUCCCGCAACGAGCGCAACCCUUGUUAUUAGUUGCCAGCAUUAAGUUGGGCACUCUAAUGAGACUGCCGGUGACGAACCGGAGGAAGGUGGGGAUGACGUCAAGUCAUCAUGCCCCUUAUGACCUGGGCUACACACGUGCUACAAUGGGCAGUACAACGAGAAGCGAGCCUGCGAAGGCAAGCGAAUCUCUGAAAGCUGUUCUCAGUUCGGACUGCAGUCUGCAACUCGACUGCACGAAGCUGGAAUCGCUAGUAAUCGCGGAUCAGCACGCCGCGGUGAAUACGUUCCCGGGCCUUGUACACACCGCCCGUCACACCAUGGGAGUCUGCAAUGCCCAAAGCCGGUGGCCUAACCUUCGGGAAGGAGCCGUCUAAGGCAGGGCAGAUGACUGGGGUGAAGUCGUAACAAGGUAGCCGUAGGAGAACCUGCGGCUGGAUCACCUCCUUUCUAAGGAA
RNAcentral lists this ribosomal RNA (1574 nucleotides) under Lactobacillus crispatus. Its description in RNAcentral is "bacterial SSU rRNA". It matches the Rfam family "Bacterial small subunit ribosomal RNA". The record is from RNAcentral. Lineage: Bacteria; Bacillati; Bacillota; Bacilli; Lactobacillales; Lactobacillaceae.